This 336-nucleotide unclassified non-coding RNA is filed under the name soil metagenome. RNAcentral describes it as "partial contains 5.8S ribosomal RNA, internal transcribed spacer 2, and large subunit ribosomal RNA". The stretch from base 1 to 120 matches the Rfam family "5.8S ribosomal RNA", at positions 35 to 154 of the family's 154-position model. The record is from RNAcentral.
GAUGAAGAACGUAGCGAAAUGCGAUAAGUAAUGUGAAUUGCAGAAUUCAGUGAAUCAUCGAAUCUUUGAACGCGCAUUGCGUCCGCCAGUAUUCUGGCGGGCAUGCCUGUUCGAGCGUCAUUUCAACCAUCAAGCCCCAGGCUUGUGUUGGGGACCUGCGGCUGCCGCAGGCCCUGAAAACCAGUGGCGGGCUCGCUGUCACACCGGGCGUAGUAGAUUUUAUCUCGCUCAGGGCGUGCUGCGGGUUCCGGCCGUUAAAAAGCCUUUUUUACCCAAGGUUGACCUCGGAUCAGGUAGGAAGACCCGCUGAACUUAAGCAUAUCAAUAAGCGGAGGA